CGCUGGGAGGACAUGCAUGAACCCAGAAUAGCAGGCCACAGCUCUUAGGAAGACUCCAGACACUGUCCUUAUGGUCCUGGAAUAUGGUUGCCUUAUUGUGCUGUUACCCUGCUUGCAAUGCCCCCCAGUCCACUUGUUGCUGAGGGCCACACCUGGUUCACGUCUGCAUUUCUGGCCUCUAGCACAGGGCAUAUCCUGAACUUGGGAAAAGGUAGGUGAACAAAUGCGUAAAUGAACAAGAGGUCUGAAAACUACUUGUAGAUUGACUCUUCAUAGAAG
This 279-nucleotide long non-coding RNA is filed under the name Capra hircus (goat). Its description in RNAcentral is "lncRNA (ENSCHIG00000000606.1)". Lineage: Eukaryota; Metazoa; Chordata; Mammalia; Artiodactyla; Bovidae. The record is from RNAcentral.